UUUUAUGGAGAGUUUGAUCCUGGCUCAGGAUGAACGCUGGCGGCGUGCCUAAUACAUGCAAGUCGAGCGAACGGACGAGAAGCUUGCUUCUCUGAUGUUAGCGGCGGACGGGUGAGUAACACGUGGAUAACCUACCUAUAAGACUGGGAUAACUUCGGGAAACCGGAGCUAAUACCGGAUAAUAUUUUGAACCGCAUGGUUCAAAAGUGAAAGACGGUCUUGCUGUCACUUAUAGAUGGAUCCGCGCUGCAUUAGCUAGUUGGUAAGGUAACGGCUUACCAAGGCAACGAUGCAUAGCCGACCUGAGAGGGUGAUCGGCCACACUGGAACUGAGACACGGUCCAGACUCCUACGGGAGGCAGCAGUAGGGAAUCUUCCGCAAUGGGCGAAAGCCUGACGGAGCAACGCCGCGUGAGUGAUGAAGGUCUUCGGAUCGUAAAACUCUGUUAUUAGGGAAGAACAUAUGUGUAAGUAACUGUGCACAUCUUGACGGUACCUAAUCAGAAAGCCACGGCUAACUACGUGCCAGCAGCCGCGGUAAUACGUAGGUGGCAAGCGUUAUCCGGAAUUAUUGGGCGUAAAGCGCGCGUAGGCGGUUUUUUAAGUCUGAUGUGAAAGCCCACGGCUCAACCGUGGAGGGUCAUUGGAAACUGGAAAACUUGAGUGCAGAAGAGGAAAGUGGAAUUCCAUGUGUAGCGGUGAAAUGCGCAGAGAUAUGGAGGAACACCAGUGGCGAAGGCGACUUUCUGGUCUGUAACUGACGCUGAUGUGCGAAAGCGUGGGGAUCAAACAGGAUUAGAUACCCUGGUAGUCCACGCCGUAAACGAUGAGUGCUAAGUGUUAGGGGGUUUCCGCCCCUUAGUGCUGCAGCUAACGCAUUAAGCACUCCGCCUGGGGAGUACGACCGCAAGGUUGAAACUCAAAGGAAUUGACGGGGACCCGCACAAGCGGUGGAGCAUGUGGUUUAAUUCGAAGCAACGCGAAGAACCUUACCAAAUCUUGACAUCCUUUGACAACUCUAGAGAUAGAGCCUUCCCCUUCGGGGGACAAAGUGACAGGUGGUGCAUGGUUGUCGUCAGCUCGUGUCGUGAGAUGUUGGGUUAAGUCCCGCAACGAGCGCAACCCUUAAGCUUAGUUGCCAUCAUUAAGUUGGGCACUCUAAGUUGACUGCGGUGGACAAACCGGAGGAAGGUGGGGAUGUCGUCAAA
This 1208-nucleotide ribosomal RNA is filed under the name Staphylococcus aureus. RNAcentral describes it as "bacterial SSU rRNA". It matches the Rfam family "Bacterial small subunit ribosomal RNA", at positions 1 to 1189 of the family's 1533-position model. Lineage: Bacteria; Bacillati; Bacillota; Bacilli; Caryophanales; Staphylococcaceae. The record is from RNAcentral.